RNAcentral lists this ribosomal RNA (228 nucleotides) under uncultured bacterium. Its description in RNAcentral is "partial 16S ribosomal RNA". It matches the Rfam family "Bacterial small subunit ribosomal RNA", at positions 90 to 334 of the family's 1533-position model. The record is from RNAcentral.
AGACCACGGCGAACGGGUGAGUAAUACCUAGGAACUUUUUUCAAGUUGAGGAUAUCCUUCCGAAAGGAAGUGCAAUACUCGAUGUGACCGCAAGGUUAAAGUCGCAAGACGCUUGAAGCAAGGCCUGGGCACCAUCAGCUAGUUGGUAAGGUAAAAGCUUACCAAGGCUAUGACGGUUAGCGGAUCUGAGAGGAUGACCCGCCACACUGGGACUGCGACACGGCCCAG